This 554-nucleotide long non-coding RNA is filed under the name Triticum aestivum (bread wheat). RNAcentral describes it as "long non-coding RNA (TAES_LNC001925)". The record is from RNAcentral. Lineage: Eukaryota; Viridiplantae; Streptophyta; Magnoliopsida; Poales; Poaceae.
UGCGUAUAUAUUGAUGCAUCGUUGCCAUGUCUGGCUCUCCAGGUGCGUGCUAGCUAGAAGUUCGGAUCUGUAAUCAAUAUAUAUAUAUAGCCCUUAAAUCUAACAAUCAAAUUAUGAGAGAAUCAUCUAUACUUGAACUAGAAAGGUCGAUUCUGUGUCUCGAUUUUGUUUAGGAAUAUUAGCAAGUUGAGUAACCUUAUUCUUUCUAAAAUAGGGAUAUUCCUGAAUGUUGUUUACUACUUCUAUUAUGUUGCUUAUUUUUGUGGUUCCAUUUGAACAGGAUGUGCACUCUUGUCUCCGUCGUUAUACCUAUUUUGGAAUCCAUGGCAGCAUGUUGUGCUUUGUCGGCACAUUCGUGCAUGUGUGAGGUAGCAGAUGAAGAAGCACCGAAUGAUCAUUAUAUUCUCCUCUGCUCUGAUCUUCUAUUGACAUAUGUAAGAUGUACCUUAUUUCCUGGUAUUUCCUGAGAUUCUGGACUGAUUGUUUGACAGUGAUUAUUAUGUAAAAGUGUUUUCAGUUGCUGUUUAGUAUGGAUGCCUCCAUGGUUGCAUAGG